GACGAACGCUGGCGGCGUGCUUAACACAUGCAAGUCGAACGGAAAGGCCCUGCUUGCAGGGUGCUCGAGUGGCGAACGGGUGAGUAACACGUGGGUGAUCUGCCCCUUAUUUUGGGAUAAGCCUGGGAAACUGGGUCUAAUACUGGAUAGGACCAUGCUGUAGGUGGUGUGGUGGAAAGAUUAGUUUCGGUAAGGGAUGAGCUCGCGGCCUAUCAGCUUGUUGGUGGGGUAAUGGCCUACCAAGGCGUCGACGGGUAGCCGGCCUGAGAGGGAGGACGGCCAGAUCGGGACUCAGACGCGGCCCAGAAGCCUACGGGAGGCAGCAGUGGGGGAUAGUGUAAAAUGGGCGCAAGGCGGAUGCGGCGACGGCGCGUGGGGGGUGACGGCCUUCGGGUUGUAAACUCCUUUCAGCCAUGACGAAGCCCUUGUGGUGACGGUAGUGGAAGAAGAAGCACCGGCUAACUACGUG
Molecule: ribosomal RNA, 469 nt
Filed under: uncultured bacterium
Lineage: Bacteria
Description: partial 16S ribosomal RNA
Rfam family: Bacterial small subunit ribosomal RNA
Source: RNAcentral